GGAAAGGCUGCUACUGGAGGAAGGUGAAGAGAGGGCCAGAUGAGGGCUCUUACUUGACUGCUGACCCAGGACUCCAUAGAUUUACUAAAAGGUUAAUCUUUACCCCUCAUGCCUCUCCCUCCAAUUGGCCUGGAAAGGGAUGAGAAUCCUUUUAAACUAGAGAUUACAGAACAAAAAUGACCACCAAGCAGUUGAUAGCCAA
Molecule: long non-coding RNA, 202 nt
Organism: Vombatus ursinus (common wombat)
Lineage: Eukaryota; Metazoa; Chordata; Mammalia; Diprotodontia; Vombatidae
Exons: 3
Source: RefSeq, a predicted model, not a curated record